UACCUGCAAGUCGAACGGAAACAUGUCUAGCUUGCUAGAUGAUGUCGAGUGGCGGACGGGUGAGUAAUGCUUGGGAACUUGCCUUUGCGAGGGGGAUAACAGUUGGAAACGACUGCUAAUACCGCAUAAUGUCUUCGGACCAAACGGGGCUUCGGCUCCGGCGCAAAGAGAGGCCCAAGUGAGAUUAGCUAGUUGGUGAGGUAAAGGCUCACCAAGGCAACGAUCUCUAGCUGUUCUGAGAGGAAGAUCAGCCACACUGGGACUGAGACACGGCCCAGACUCCUACGGGAGGCAGCAGUGGGGAAUAUUGCACAAUGGGGGAAACCCUGAUGCAGCCAUGCCGCGUGUGUGAAGAAGGCCUUCGGGUUGUAAAGCACUUUCAGUUGUGAGGAAAAGUUAGUAGUUAAUACCUGCUAGCCGUGACGUUAACAACAGAAGAAGCACCGGCUAACUCCGUGCCAGCAGCCGCGGUAAUACGGAGGGUGCGAGCGUUAAUCGGAAUUACUGGGCGUAAAGCGCACGCAGGCGGUUUGUUAAGCUAGAUGUGAAAGCCCCGGGCUCAACCUGGGACGGUCAUUUAGAACUGGCAGACUAGAGUCUUGGAGAGGGGAGUGGAAUUCCAGGUGUAGCGGUGAAAUGCGUAGAUAUCUGGAGGAACAUCAGUGGCGAAGGCGACUCCCUGGCCAAAGACUGACGCUCAUGUGCGAAAGUGUGGGUAGCGAACAGGAUUAGAUACCCUGGUAGUCCACACCGUAAACGCUGUCUACUAGCUGUUUGUGACUUUAAGUCGUGAGUAGCGAAGCUAACGCGAUAAGUAGACCGCCUGGGGAGUACGGCCGCAAGGUUAAAACUCAAAUGAAUUGACGGGGGCCCGCACAAGCGGUGGAGCAUGUGGUUUAAUUCGAUGCAACGCGAAGAACCUUACCUACACUUGACAUGUUGAG
Molecule: ribosomal RNA, 944 nt
Filed under: Alteromonas sp.
Lineage: Bacteria; Pseudomonadati; Pseudomonadota; Gammaproteobacteria; Alteromonadales; Alteromonadaceae
Description: bacterial SSU rRNA
Rfam family: Bacterial small subunit ribosomal RNA
Source: RNAcentral